AUCCAUCUGACGAGUCCAAAAUAGGAUGAAACUCGCGUUCAGGGU
Molecule: non-coding RNA, 45 nt
Filed under: Schistosoma margrebowiei
Lineage: Eukaryota; Metazoa; Platyhelminthes; Trematoda; Strigeidida; Schistosomatidae
Source: RNAcentral